Misgurnus anguillicaudatus (oriental weatherfish) is the source of this 446-nucleotide non-coding RNA. The record is from RefSeq and is a predicted model, not a curated record. Lineage: Eukaryota; Metazoa; Chordata; Actinopteri; Cypriniformes; Cobitidae.
ACAAAUUUCUGUAAUUUCUACAGCAAAAUUUUACAGUUACUUCUUGUUCUGUCAUUUUACAAAGUUUAGCUGUACAUUGCAAUGCAUUGUGGGUCAAAAAACUAUUACAGAAGUUGACAGCUUUUCCCCCACAAUAAAUUACAGGUAUAUUUGCGCUUGCCUGUAAAUGAUGCAGUAUUACAGUUAUUCACUGUUGAAUGUGUUGCACGAGGCAGCUUGACGCCAUUUUAUGUCGGAUUGCAGAGGAGCAGGGACAUUGCCACGCCACUCAUGCACAAAAUGUGUUGGCAACAGCAACAGACGUUGAAAAAAGACUACAGUUUCCUGACUUAAUUGUCUAAGGUGAAUCAGCGUUUGGAUGCUGAGCAUCGGGUGGUUGUGCCUCCACAUCCCAACUUCGUGGCUGGAAUGGCAGCUUUGUUUUCUAUCUACUACACCUUCAAUCU